This 22-nucleotide ribosomal RNA is filed under the name Lophodermium sp. SL1. Its description in RNAcentral is "partial 28S ribosomal RNA". Lineage: Eukaryota; Fungi; Ascomycota; Leotiomycetes; Rhytismatales; Rhytismataceae. The record is from RNAcentral.
CUCGGAUCAGGUAGGGAUACCG